CCUACGGGUGGCUGCAGUGGGGAAUAUUGGACAAUGGGCGAAAGCCUGAUCCAGCCAUGCCGCGUGUGUGAAGAAGGCCUUCGGGUUGUAAAGCACUUUCAGUGGGGAAGAAAGCCUUGGGGCUAAUACCCUCGAGGAAGGACAUCACCCACAGAAGAAGCACCGGCUAACUCCGUGCCAGCAGCCGCGGUAAUACGGAGGGUGCGAGCGUUAAUCGGAAUUACUGGGCGUAAAGCGCGCGUAGGCGGUCUGAUAAGCCGGUUGUGAAAGCCCCGGGCUCAACCUGGGAACGGCAUCCGGAACUGUCAGGCUAGAGUACAGGAGAGGAAGGUAGAAUUCCCGGUGUAGCGGUGAAAUGCGUAGAGAUCGGGAGGAAUACCAGUGGCGAAGGCGGCCUUCUGGAAUGACACUGACGCUGAGGUGCGAAAGCGUGGGUAGCAAACAGGAUUAGAUACCCUGGUAGUC
Molecule: ribosomal RNA, 465 nt
Filed under: Vreelandella stevensii
Lineage: Bacteria; Pseudomonadati; Pseudomonadota; Gammaproteobacteria; Oceanospirillales; Halomonadaceae
Description: partial 16S ribosomal RNA
Rfam family: Bacterial small subunit ribosomal RNA
Source: RNAcentral